GCGAGCGUGCUGAAAUUGGUAAACAGACAGGACUUAAAAUCCUGCGGAGUCUGACUCCUUGUGGGUUCAAGUCCCACCGCUCGCACCA
This 88-nucleotide transfer RNA is filed under the name Rickettsiales bacterium. Its description in RNAcentral is "tRNA-Leu". It matches the Rfam family "tRNA". Rfam says of the family: Transfer RNA (tRNA) molecules are approximately 80 nucleotides in length. Their secondary structure includes four short double-helical elements and three loops (D, anti-codon, and T loops). Lineage: Bacteria; Pseudomonadati; Pseudomonadota; Alphaproteobacteria; Rickettsiales. The record is from RNAcentral.